CCGGACUGCCACAUGGCGUCGCCAGGCCUUCUGGAUGGUGCGGGCAAAGCCAUCGAACUUCCGCUCUCGCAUCUCCUCCAGAAGGAAGAGCUGGGCAAAAGAGGGGCGAAGAAGAGGGAAGUUUGGACCCAGACACAGAGGAGAAGGUCGUGUGAUGACAGAGGUAGAGACUGGAGUGAUCAAGAAUGGCAAGGAUGGCCGGCACCCACUGGAAGUUAGGGAGAGUCAAGGAAGGCUCUUCCCUGCAGCCUUGAGAGGGACCGUGGCCCCGCGGACACAUUGGUGUUGGAUUUCCAGCUUCCAGAAACGUGAGCAAAUUAAUUUCUGUUGGGUUCAGCCAUCCAGUCGGUGGUACUUCACUACAGCAGCCACAGGAAAGGAACACACGCAGCGUGACAGGCAGGGAAGGCCAGCAGGUGUGUGAAACAGCCAAGGAUAGUUUGAGUUCAUGUGUACAAGGAGCCAAAUUCAAAUCAGAAUCAUCCCAAUGUGGGCUGGCUGGCAGAGUCCCCACCUCCGUUAGGGUAACUUAAUUCUUUGAUCAAUUGUGAUACAGCAUAGUUAUAAACAGUUACAAAACUGUAUCCAGUUUUUUCCUGUGCAAAUUUUCAGUCUUGUUUUUCCUUACAACAUUUUUCCACCAAACUUUUCCCUGUGUGAAUUUCAUUGUUUCCGGCCGUGGAAAUAAUUUUUGUCAGAAUAUGAUUUUACCUUAGAUAGCCUUAGCCAGUGCUAGCCUUGUUGACUCUGUUUUUGUUUGUUUGUUUGUUUGUUUGUUUUUUCCCAGUGUCAAUUUUUACAUGUUUCUUUCAGAGUCAGAUUUUGCAAACUGCCUGCAACCAGCAGGAUGGAUUCUCUUUCUCUGUCUCUCCUCUUUUUCUGACCCUCCCUCCCUUUCUUUCUCAACUGCUACAAUUUGAAUGGUUCCCGAUUAGUUCCAGUCAUGGGCAAUUUUGGUUUGUGAUGCUAGUUUCUGUCAGUAAAAAGAUCUACUCUGGAUGCAA
Molecule: long non-coding RNA, 1004 nt
Organism: Herpailurus yagouaroundi (jaguarundi)
Lineage: Eukaryota; Metazoa; Chordata; Mammalia; Carnivora; Felidae
Exons: 2
Source: RefSeq, a predicted model, not a curated record